RNAcentral lists this unclassified non-coding RNA (205 nucleotides) under Hevea brasiliensis (rubber tree). Lineage: Eukaryota; Viridiplantae; Streptophyta; Magnoliopsida; Malpighiales; Euphorbiaceae. The record is from RNAcentral.
CUAAAACUGACUAGAGGACCAAGUAAUCUGACAUUUUGGAAUCAUUAGAUGGAAGAGAACUAUUGAGUUCGAGGCAUAAGAGCAAAACAGGAUUAAUGAUGACUAUUGCUUGCAUAACUUGAGUUUUGAGCUCUGAAUUUGAGAACAACCUUCAACUAAAGAUUUGACCAAAUGAACAAUUGAACUCUCUUUGCAAUUAGAACCA